RNAcentral lists this ribosomal RNA (1410 nucleotides) under Ceratomyxa capricornensis. RNAcentral's name for it is "bacterial SSU rRNA". It matches the Rfam family "Eukaryotic small subunit ribosomal RNA", at positions 381 to 1713 of the family's 1831-position model. Lineage: Eukaryota; Metazoa; Cnidaria; Myxozoa; Bivalvulida; Ceratomyxidae. The record is from RNAcentral.
UUCCGGAGAGGGAGCCUGAGAAACGGCUACCACAUCCAAGGAAGGCAGCAGGCGCGCAAAUUACCCAAUCCAGACAUUGGGAGGUAGUGACGAGAAAUACUGGGGGCGCCCCAAGCGGGUGCCAUCCGGAAUGAACGUAACACAAAAAAUUCGGUGAGGAUCUACUGGAGGGCAAGUCUGGUGCCAGCAGCCGCGGUAAUUCCAGCUCCAGUAGUGUAUAUCAACAUUGUUGCGCUUAAAACGCUCGUAGUUGGAUUACAGAGCCCCAAACACUGGGCUACAAGUUGGUCGUCGGUGGUGCAGUGUGGCCGAUGCUCUCUCGGGGCGUCGGUUUGCUGUGCGGGGCUCUUUUGUCGCGCUGGUGCCGGUCGGUGUCUUUGUUGGCACUGGUUGGCAGCCGGCGGAGUGUGCCUUGAAUAAAGCAUGGUGCUCAAAGCAGGCGUACGCUCGGGUGUAAUAGCAUGGAACGAAUAGUUGUGUAACUGACCGGGAGUCAGCGGGUAGAGUGCUGAAGAGCGCGCUGGUCGUCGGCCCGGAACAAGCCAGUGUUGGUGCGUUCGCGGUCUCAACGGUUAACAGGGACACCUGAGGGUACUAGUACUUUGUGGCGAGAGGUGAAAUUCUUAGACCCGCAAAAGACUGACUAUUGCGAAAGCAUUUGCCAAGAGUGUUUUCAUUAAUCAAGAACGAAGGUCAGAGGAUCGAAGACGAUCAGAUACCGUCCUAGUUUUGACAGCAAACGAUGCCGGCAUGGAGCCGGGGCGGCCGGCUUGAAUGCAAGCUGUGCCACCUGGGUUCCUAGGGGAAACCUAGCUUUCGGGCUGCUGGGAGAAUAUCGCUGCAAGGCUGAAAUUUAAAGAAAUUGACGGAGAGGCACCACCAGGAGUGGAGCCUGCGGCUUAAUUUGACUCAACACGGGGAAACUCACCAGGUCCAGACAUUGGCAGGAUUGACAGACUGGUGGAUCUUUCAUGAUUCAGUGAAUGGUGGUGCAUGGCCGUUCUUAGUUGGUGGAGUGAUCUGUCAGGUCUAUUCCGGUAACGAGCGAGACCACGGCCUUUGAGUUGGUCGACACGGUGCGUUCUACGGGAUGCAGCCGGGUUAAUGGCCAAACUAGAGGGACAAUCGGCGCUCAAGCCGGGGGAAGCGUGGCAAUAACAGGUCUGUGAUGCCCUUCGAUGUCCUGGGCUGCACGCGCGCUACAAUGGCAGCAGUAGAGAGUUGACUAGCCAGAAAUGGCCGGUAAAACUGAAAAUGGCUGUCGUGAUGGGGAUUGAGCCUUGCAAUUGUCGCUCAUGAAAGAGGAAUUCCUCGUAAGCGCAAGUCAUCAGCUUGUGUUGAAUACGUCUCUGCCUCUUGUACACACCGCCCGUCGCUACUACCGAUUGAAUUGCUUCUAAAGCUGGUCGA